This 759-nucleotide ribosomal RNA is filed under the name Salmonella enterica. Its description in RNAcentral is "partial 23S ribosomal RNA". It matches the Rfam family "Bacterial large subunit ribosomal RNA", at positions 2174 to 2925 of the family's 2925-position model. Lineage: Bacteria; Pseudomonadati; Pseudomonadota; Gammaproteobacteria; Enterobacterales; Enterobacteriaceae. The record is from RNAcentral.
GUCUGCGUGGAGCCGACCUUGAAAUACCACCCUUUAAUGUUUGAUGUUCUAACGUGGACCCGUAAUCCGGGUUGCGGACAGUGUCUGGUGGGUAGUUUGACUGGGGCGGUCUCCUCCUAAAGAGUAACGGAGGAGCACGAAGGUUGGCUAAUCCUGGUCGGACAUCAGGAGGUUAGUGCAAUGGCAUAAGCCAGCUUGACUGCGAGCGUGACGGCGCGAGCAGGUGCGAAAGCAGGUCAUAGUGAUCCGGUGGUUCUGAAUGGAAGGGCCAUCGCUCAACGGAUAAAAGGUACUCCGGGGAUAACAGGCUGAUACCGCCCAAGAGUUCAUAUCGACGGCGGUGUUUGGCACCUCGAUGUCGGCUCAUCACAUCCUGGGGCUGAAGUAGGUCCCAAGGGUAUGGCUGUUCGCCAUUUAAAGUGGUACGCGAGCUGGGUUUAGAACGUCGUGAGACAGUUCGGUCCCUAUCUGCCGUGGGCGCUGGAGAACUGAGGGGGGCUGCUCCUAGUACGAGAGGACCGGAGUGGACGCAUCACUGGUGUUCGGGUUGUCAUGCCAAUGGCACUGCCCGGUAGCUAAAUGCGGAAGAGAUAAGUGCUGAAAGCAUCUAAGCACGAAACUUGCCCCGAGAUGAGUUCUCCCUGAGACUUAGAGUCUCCUGAAGGAACGUUGAAGACGACGACGUUGAUAGGCCGGGUGUGUAAGCGCAGCGAUGCGUUGAGCUAACCGGUACUAAUGAACCGUGAGGCUUAACCUUAC